RNAcentral lists this long non-coding RNA (540 nucleotides) under Homo sapiens (human). Its description in RNAcentral is "long intergenic non-protein coding RNA 1608". The record is from RNAcentral. Lineage: Eukaryota; Metazoa; Chordata; Mammalia; Primates; Hominidae.
GAUCACCACAUUCAUUGUUCUCGUUUCUAUUAUUUCUGAAAAAAAUCUUCAGGAUUCUGCUUGUGGGAGUGGAUGACAUUUUUACAGUGUUUACAGGCUGAAAAUUUUUCGAGCUUUUAUGCUCUGCUUCCGUUAUAAGGAGGAGGCCUCACAAUCCUGGUGGAAGGCAAGGAGGAGCAAGUCACAUCUUAUGUGGAUGGCAGCAGGCAAAGAAAGCUUAUGCAGACACAAAAUGAACAAGAUGUCUGUGGCAACCCUCAGACCAUUGACGCCUUCUCUCCUAUGUAUCAAAUCACACAUUUGGACGUUGACUGAACCCUCACAUGUCAGAUGCUCAAUAUUGAGCUUUAUCUAUUCCAGAAUGUCAUAUAGCUGGUAUAAGAAAGAACACUAAUCAUUCCUAAGGAAGAAAAUUAACAACGCCGUGAGUUAUAAUAUCUGGCUGAAACUGAAGGAGCUCUGUGUAAUUAAAAGUCCUUUCUGCCCUGCCUGGCCAUGGUUCUGUAUGCAUUGAUGUCUUACAAACUGAAAAAAAAAAAA